AUUGAACGCUGGCGGAAUGCUUUACACAUGCAAGUCGAACGGCAGCACGGACUUCGGUCUGGUGGCGAGUGGCGAACGGGUGAGUAAUGUAUCGGAACGUGCCCAGUCGUGGGGGAUAACGUAGUGAAAAUUACGCUAAUACCGCAUACGAUCUAUGGAUGAAAGCGGGGGAUCGCAAGACCUCGCGCGAUUGGAGCGGCCGAUAUCAGAUUAGGUAGUUGGUGGGGUAAAGGCCCACCAAGCCAACGAUCUGUAGCUGGUCUGAGAGGACGACAGGCCACACUGGAACUGAGACACGGUGCAGACUCCUACGGGAGGCAGCAGUGGGGAAUUUUGGACAAUGGGGGAAAGCCUGAUCCAGCCAUUCCGCGUGCAGGAUGAAGGCCCUCGGGUUGUAAACUGCUUUUGUACAGAACGAAAAGGUUUCUACUAAUACUAGGAGCUCAUGACGGUACUGUAAGAAUAAGCACCGGCUAACUACGUGCCAGCCGCCGCAGUAA
RNAcentral lists this ribosomal RNA (500 nucleotides) under uncultured bacterium. Its description in RNAcentral is "partial 16S ribosomal RNA". It matches the Rfam family "Bacterial small subunit ribosomal RNA", at positions 30 to 523 of the family's 1533-position model. The record is from RNAcentral.